RNAcentral lists this ribosomal RNA (253 nucleotides) under uncultured bacterium. RNAcentral's name for it is "partial 16S ribosomal RNA". It matches the Rfam family "Bacterial small subunit ribosomal RNA", at positions 524 to 776 of the family's 1533-position model. The record is from RNAcentral.
UACGUAGGGGGCAAGCGUUAUCCGGAUUUACUGGGUGUAAAGGGAGCGUAGACGGCGGGGCAAGUCUGGAGUGAAAGGCCGGGGCCCAACCCCGGGACCGCUCUGGAAACUGCCCGGCUGGAGUGCGGGAGAAGUACGCGGAAUGCGCGGUGUAGCGGUGAAAUGCAUAGAUAUCGCGCAGAACUCCGAUUGCGAAGGCAGCGUACCGGCGCCACACUGACGCUGAGGCACGAAAGCGUGGGGAUCGAACAGG